GGAUGCAAUCAUACCAGCACUAAAGCACCGGAUCCCAUCAGAACUCUGAAGUUAAGCGUGUUUGGGGGAGAGUAGUACUAGGAUGGGUGACCUCCUGUAACAUCCCAAUUUUUAGGAUGUU
RNAcentral lists this ribosomal RNA (121 nucleotides) under Triticum aestivum (bread wheat). Lineage: Eukaryota; Viridiplantae; Streptophyta; Magnoliopsida; Poales; Poaceae. RNAcentral also lists the same sequence under 1 other name. The record is from RNAcentral.